ACCCGAAACCCGGUGAUCUAGCCAUGGGCAGGUUGAAGGUUGGGUAACACUAACUGGAGGACCGAACCGACUAAUGUUGAAAAAUUAGCGGAUGACUUGUGGCUGGGGGUGAAAGGCCAAUCAAACCGGGAGAUAGCUGGUUCUCCCCGAAAGCUAUUUAGGUAGCGCCUCGUGAAUUCAUCUCCGGGGGUAGAGCACUGUUUCGGCAAGGGGGUCAUCCCGACUUACCAACCCGAUGCAAACUGCGAAUACCGGAGAAUGUUAUCACGGGAGACACACGGCGGGUGCUAACGUCCGUCGUGAAGAGGGAAACAACCCAGACCGCCAGCUAAGGUCCCAAAGUCAUGGUUAAGUGGGAAACGAUGUGGGAAGGCCCAGACAGCCAGGAUGUUGGCUUAGAAGCAGCCAUCAUUUAAAGAAAGCGUAAUAGCUCACUGGUCGAGUCGGCCUGCGCGGAAGAUGUAACGGGGCUAAACCAUGCACCGAAGCUGCGGCAGCGACGCUGAUGCGUUGUUGGGUAGGGGAGCGUUCUGUAAGCCUGUGAAGGUGUGCUGUGAGGUAUGCUGGAGGUAUCAGAAGUGCGAAUGCUGACAUAAGUAACGAUAAAGCGGGUGAAAAGCCCGCUCGCCGGAAGACCAAGGGUUCCUGUCCAACGUUAAUCGGGGCAGGGUGAGUCGACCCCUAAGGCGAGGCCGAAAGGCGUAGUCGAUGGGAAACAGGUUAAUAUUCCUGUACUUGGUGUUACUGCGAAGGGGGGACGGAGAAGGCUAUGUUGGCCGGGCGACGGUUGUCCCGGUUUAAGCGUGUAGGCUGGUUUUCCAGGCAAAUCCGGAAAACUAAGGCUGAGGCGUGAUGACGAGGCACUACGGUGCUGAAGCAACAAAUGCCCUGCUUCCAGGAAAAGCCUCUAAGCAUCAGGUAACAUCAAAUCGUACCCCAAACCGACACAGGUGGUCAGGUAGAGAAUACCAAGGCGCUUGAGAGAACUCGGGUGAAGGAACUAGGCAAAAUGGUGCCGUAACUUCGGGAGAAGGCACGCUGAUAUGUAGGUGAAGUCCCUCGCGGAUGGAGCUGAAAUCAGUCGAAGAUACCAGCUGGCUGCAACUGUUUAUUAAAAACACAGCACUGUGCAAACACGAAAGUGGACGUAUACGGUGUGACGCCUGCCCGGUGCCGGAAGGUUAAUUGAUGGGGUCAGCGCAAGCGAAGCUCUUGAUCGAAGCCCCGGUAAACGGCGGCCGUAACUAUAACGGUCCUAAGGUAGCGAAAUUCCUUGUCGGGUAAGUUCCGACCUGCACGAAUGGCGUAAUGAUGGCCAGGCUGUCUCCACCCGAGACUCAGUGAAAUUGAACUCGCUGUGAAGAUGCAGUGUACCCGCGGCAAGACGGAAAGACCCCGUGAACCUUUACUAUAGCUUGACACUGAACAUUGAGCCUUGAUGUGUAGGAUAGGUGGGAGGCUUUGAAGUGUGGACGCCAGUCUGCAUGGAGCCGACCUUGAAAUACCACCCUUUAAUGUUUGAUGUUCUAACGUUGACCCGUAAUCCGGGUUGCGGACAGUGUCUGGUGGGUAGUUUGACUGGGGCGGUCUCCUCCUAAAGAGUAACGGAGGAGCACGAAGGUUGGCUAAUCCUGGUCGGACAUCAGGAGGUUAGUGCAAUGGCAUAAGCCAGCUUGACUGCGAGCGUGACGGCGCGAGCAGGUGCGAAAGCAGGUCAUAGUGAUCCGGUGGUUCUGAAUGGAAGGGCCAUCGCUCAACGGAUAAAAGGUACUCCGGGGAUAACAGGCUGAUACCGCCCAAGAGUUCAUAUCGACGGCGGUGUUUGGCACCUCGAUGUCGGCUCAUCACAUCCUGGGGCUGAAGUAGGUCCCAAGGGUAUGGCUGUUCGCCAUUUAAAGUGGUACGCGAGCUGGGUUUAGAACGUCGUGAGACAGUUCGGUCCCUAUCUGCCGUGGGCGCUGGAGAACUGAGGGGGGCUGCUCCUAGUACGAGAGGACCGGAGUGGACGCAUCACUGGUGUUCGGGUUGUCAUGCCAAUGGCACUGCCCGGUAGCUAAAUGCGGAAGAGAUAAGUGCUGAAAGCAUCUAAGCACGAAACUUGCCCCGAGAUGAGUUCUCCCUGACUCCUUGAGAGUCCUGAAGGAACGUUGAAGACGACGACGUUGAUAGGCCGGGUGUGUAAGCGCAGCGAUGCGUUGAGCUAACCGGUACUAAUGAACCGUGAGGCUUAACCUUACAACGCCGAAGGUGUUU
RNAcentral lists this ribosomal RNA (2253 nucleotides) under Shigella boydii. Its description in RNAcentral is "partial 23S ribosomal RNA". It matches the Rfam family "Bacterial large subunit ribosomal RNA", at positions 713 to 2925 of the family's 2925-position model. The record is from RNAcentral. Lineage: Bacteria; Pseudomonadati; Pseudomonadota; Gammaproteobacteria; Enterobacterales; Enterobacteriaceae.